AGACAUUUUACAGAAGGUGGUGUCACUUGGUACUCAGAGCAGCUCAGAAGAUAUAUAAUCUUACUCCCCAGGUACCAUUUUAAGCAGUACAAUGUCAUUUGAUCUUCAUAAAAACAACUUUGAGAUCUUCUUUUGCGAAACAUCAGUUCAAGUCAUUUGACCCAUUUUUUUCCAUGCUCACCGCAUUUGGAACAGCACAGCUCUGGAGGAGACAUAUCAGCUUUUGUACCAGGAGAAAUAGGAGUGUAGAUCCUGUAAAUUCUUUGCAGCCUAGUUCGAGGGAAAUGGCUAGCUUGCUUGACUG
Orcinus orca (killer whale) is the source of this 304-nucleotide long non-coding RNA. RefSeq lists it as uncharacterized. The transcript has 4 exons. The record is from RefSeq and is a predicted model, not a curated record. Lineage: Eukaryota; Metazoa; Chordata; Mammalia; Artiodactyla; Delphinidae.